RNAcentral lists this ribosomal RNA (560 nucleotides) under Morganella morganii. RNAcentral describes it as "bacterial SSU rRNA". It matches the Rfam family "Bacterial small subunit ribosomal RNA", at positions 35 to 573 of the family's 1533-position model. Lineage: Bacteria; Pseudomonadati; Pseudomonadota; Gammaproteobacteria; Enterobacterales; Morganellaceae. The record is from RNAcentral. RNAcentral also lists the same sequence under 1 other name.
GCUGGCGGCAUGCCUUAAUCAUGCAAGUCGAACGAAGUUUCGAGGAAGCUUGCUUCCAAAGAGACUUAGUGGCGAACGGGUGAGUAACACGUAGGUAACCUGCCCAUGUGUCCGGGAUAACUGCUGGAAACGGUAGCUAAAACCGGAUAGGUAUACAGAGCGCAUGCUCAGUAUAUUAAAGCGCCCAUCAAGGCGUGAACAUGGAUGGACCUGCGGCGCAUUAGCUAGUUGGUGAGGUAACGGCCCACCAAGGCGAUGAUGCGUAGCCGGCCUGAGAGGGUAAACGGCCACAUUGGGACUGAGACACGGCCCAAACUCCUACGGGAGGCAGCAGUAGGGAAUUUUCGUCAAUGGGGGAAACCCUGAACGAGCAAUGCCGCGUGAGUGAAGAAGGUCUUCGGAUCGUAAAGCUCUGUUGUAAGUGAAGAACGGCUCAUAGAGGAAAUGCUAUGGGAGUGACGGUAGCUUACCAGAAAGCCACGGCUAACUACGUGCCAGCAGCCGCGGUAAUACGUAGGUGGCAAGCGUUAUCCGGAAUCAUUGGGCGUAAAGGGUGCGUA